RNAcentral lists this ribosomal RNA (460 nucleotides) under uncultured bacterium. RNAcentral's name for it is "partial 16S ribosomal RNA". It matches the Rfam family "Bacterial small subunit ribosomal RNA", at positions 338 to 795 of the family's 1533-position model. The record is from RNAcentral.
CCUACGGGAGGCAGCAGUGAGGAAUAUUGGUCAAUGGACGAGAGUCUGAACCAGCCACGUAGCGUGAAGGAUGACUGCCCUAUGGGUUGUAAACUUCUUUUAUAUGGGAAUAAAAUGUUCCACGUGUGGGAUUUUGUAUGUACCAUAUGAAUAAGGAUCGGCUAACUCCGUGCCAGCAGCCGCGGUAAUACGGAGGAUUCGAGCGUUAUCCGGAGUUAUUGGGUGUAAAGGGAGCGUAGGUGGAUUGUUAAGUCAGUUGUGAAAGUUUGCGGCUCAACCGUAAAAUUGCAGUUGACACUGGCAGUCUUGAGUACAGUAGAGGUAGGCGGAAUUCGUGGUGUAGCGGUGAAAUGCUUAGAUAUCACGAAGAACUCCGAUUGCGAAGGCAGCUCACUGGACUGCAACUGACACUGAGGCUCGAAAGUGUGGGGAUCAAACAGGAUUAGAUACCCCAGUAGUC